Esox lucius (northern pike) is the source of this 829-nucleotide long non-coding RNA. The record is from Ensembl. Lineage: Eukaryota; Metazoa; Chordata; Actinopteri; Esociformes; Esocidae.
GUGGUGUGGAUCCAUGGAGGAGGCAGAGACACUGAGGUGGGGUGGAUCCAUGGAGGAGGCAGAGACACUGAGGUGGGGUGGAUCCAUGGAGGAGGCAGAGACACUGAGGUGGUGUGGAUCCAUGGAGGAGGCAGAGACACUGAGGUGGGUGGAUCCAUGGAGGAGGCAGAGACACUGAGGUGGGGUGGAUCCAUGGAGGAGGCAGAGACACUGAGGUGGGAUGGAUCCAUGGAGGAGGCAGAGACACUGAGGUGGGGUGGAUCCAUGGAGGAGGCAGAGACACCGAGGUGGGGUGAAUCCAUGGAGGAGGCAGAGACACUGAGGUGGAUCCAUGGAGGAGGCAGAGACACCGAGGUGGGGUGGAUCCAUGGAGGAGGCGUGCAGAGACACUGAGGUGGGAUGGAUCCAUGGAGGAGGCAGAGACACUGAGGUGGGGUGGAUCCAUGGAGGAGGCAGAGACACUGAGGUGGAUCCAUGGAGGAGGCAGAGACACCGAGGUGGGGUGGAUCCAUGGAGGAGGCGUGCAGAGACACUGAGGUGGGUGGAUCCAUGGAGGAGGCGUGCAGAGACACUGAGGUGGGUGGAUCCAUGGAGGAGGCGUGCAGAGACACUGAGGUGGGGUGGAUCCAUGGAGGAGGCAGAGACACCGAGGUGGGGUGGAUCCAUGGAGGAGGCGUGCAGAGACACUGAGGUGGGUGGAUCCAUGGAGGAGGCGUGCAGAGACACUGAGGUGGGUGGAUCCAUGGAGGAGGCGUGCAGAGACACUGAGGUGGGGUGGAUCCAUGGAGGAGGCAGAGACACCGAGGUGGGGUGGAUCCAUGGAGGAGGC